AUUUCAUUCCAAGUCCAGCCUUCAACCCCAGUGCCUGAGCAGGAGGGAGGGACAUUGCUCUGACUCUUGAGUUGCGAGGACUGGAAGACCUUCACUUUAGCCCUGCAAGCUCUGGCUUCCAGCACAGCUGAGAGGCCCCAGUGGCACAAGACUCCGAAGGCUUCUUUGAGCGAUCACAGGUUCUUGACCACUUGUCUGGGCACUGCUCCUGUCUCCUGGAGCUCAGGCUGGAUGGAGUCUCUCCCCUAGUUCAGGCUGCAGCCCCAGCCGCCACAGCUACAGCGGUGAGAGCAGGCUGGAUCCCAGAUCUGCAGGCGGGUGAGCAGGUGGAGCCCAGUGAAGAGAUGUUCCUGCUGCAGGCAAUUAUGCAAAAUGCUUGCUCUGUUGCCCAGGAUGGAGUGCAGUGGCGUGAUCGCAGCUCACUGCAACCUCCGUCUGCUGGAUUCAAGCGAUUCUCCUGCCUCAGCCUCCCAAGUAGCUGGCAUUACAGCACCUGCCACCAUGCCUGGCCAUGGCUCACCAAGAAACAACCACCUCCCGCCUCCACACACCCUGCAAAACUAAUUUGACUGAAAGAUGGUAAGUGUUCUCAAGAGAGGAUAUUUUCUUUGUUAUUGUCAAUUAGAAUUAAUGACUUUGAAAACAAGGUAGUCCAGUGUGUUAGAAGCUAAGAAAGAAACAUUCCUGAUAAUGUUGUUUAGAAUAAGAUACAACACAGGCAUAUUAAAUAUGCCCUUAAAGGGCAUGUCUUAAAAGGGUGUCUCAUAUAUUUUCCAAACUCUCAGGCUUACAUCAAUCACACUGAUGAUCAAGAGCGAAGAAAGGACGAGGAUGGGCAGAAACAUCACACAAUCACGAUGAGCAAUGCCUGACAUGACAAAGAGCAAAAAAAUGGUUAACAUAUGCAGAUAAUUAUCAAACAUUCCACACACAAUUAAUUUUUUCCAAAUGCUGUAGUUCGCAGAUUAAUUCCCAAUUAUGGUACAUUAAAAAAUCAACGAGCUGCAGGAGGCAGAAGUAACCAGCGACACAAACCAAAAGCACAGUUGAUUCUGCGGGUUCUUUUGAAGAGGAGGCUUUAGAAGUCUGGCAGGGAUAAGAAGGGCUAAAUGAAUCCCAGCCAGCCUACCCCUCAGUACCACAGUGACCACCAAGAAGAAGGCCUAAUGCAGAGCAGAGCAGAGAGCUCUGCAAACGGCAAUGCUUGGAACAGCAAUGCAGAAAUAAUUAGUGCCUUGUUUAAGAGCAUCUCAGGGGGCUUAACUGCUCUACCUCAUUUCUUCUUGUGUGGCCGAUUUAAAAAAAAAAAUUCCUUCAGUGCGACUGUCUGAAUGUUCAGAGGAGCAAGUGUUAGUUACCAAAUCUCCCAAAGUGACCUAUUCCCUUCUCACCUGCUUUGCAUGUCUAAGGCAGCCCUGCCAGCAGCAGAGCAAAGACCGCUUUGGCACCAGGAUGCUGUUAUUUUUGUUUUUUAAAAUAGAGAUGGAGUCUCGCUAUAGCCAGGCUGUUCUUGAAAUCCUGGCCUUAAGCAAUCCUCCUCCCUUGGCCUCCCUAAGCAUGGGGAUUACAGGUGUGAGCCACCUCGCUAGGCCCACUGAGGGUUGCUGUUUUUAAGAGAAAACCUCUGCACUUUGGCCAGGCCUCCUGAAGGCGACUGGAGAUAGCAGCUUAGCCCAUGAGGGGUUAACCUGCUGACCUGGCCAAGAAGGCACCUCGGGGAGAGCCCUCUUCUAACCAAAGAAAGGGACAAAGAACUAACUCUGGGUCAUGGUGUUUUGGUGGAGGACACAGAAACCUCCCUUUUGUCUUUCCUUCCACAGCACAUGCAGCACAGAGACAGGGCUGGAAGGCUGAGCAAGAGUCAGAGCUACAGUUGGAAGUAUUGGAAAGCGGCAGCGGAUUCUCGGGGUGAUGGGAAAAGCAAAAUCUGCUUCACUAAAACUCCGUCGGUGAUCAACUUUUUCAGCAGUCCUCCGAUUCCCGACUAGAAGGCAAAAGCCUGGCCCAGGCCACGGGAGGCACUUCACUAAAGAAGAAAAACCUGAGCUCCAGCAAGCUCAGUAACUUCAUCAGUCACCUAAUUGAACGAGAACCCAGAGCAACUCAGUCCAGGCUGCACAAAUUGAGUAGCACUGCUCUGCAGCUCGCUGCACUAAAAGUGGAAGAUAUUUUCCAUUACAGCAAGUGCUCCCACAGAAGGAUCACGAGCCACACACGGAGCCUUACUCUCCAAAUAGGCGCCCAUGGCCCAGUCGUCCCUUAGCCUAAGAACUCAGAGAGCCAGGCUGUAAUAAUGGGGCUGCCGUGUGAGCACAGCAGCCAUCGAGCUGCUCCGGUUCAUUUCCCAGAGGUUGAGCUGCAGUGUGUCCAGUAUUUAAAAGUAUGGAACUUGUUUCAGGGCUGACCCAUUCUUGCCCAAUUCAUCUUCCCCGUGUGAAGUUAUUUAGCAAACAGCCAAGUUCAGCUGGAAAUCGUUUUUCAUCCCCUCCAACUUCUAGUCACAUGGGCAGCUGGCCAGCUACAUGUUAACAAGCGCCUCAGAACUCCUAAGACACCACCGGCCUCUGUUCCCUUCAGUGCAUUCUUGUAAAUAAAUAAAUAAUAAAACCUGCCUUUACCACCCC
RNAcentral lists this long non-coding RNA (2624 nucleotides) under Homo sapiens (human). Its description in RNAcentral is "long non-coding RNA NONHSAT003018.2". The record is from RNAcentral. Lineage: Eukaryota; Metazoa; Chordata; Mammalia; Primates; Hominidae.